AGAGUUUGAUCAUGGCUCAGAUUGAACGCUGGCGGCAUGCCUUACACAUGCAAGUCGAACGGCAGCGCGGGGGCAACCCUGGCGGCGAGUGGCGAACGGGUGAGUAAUACAUCGGAACGUGUCCUGGAGUGGGGGAUAGCUCGGCGAAAGCCGGAUUAAUACCGCAUACGCUCUAUGGAGGAAAGCGGGGGACCUUCGGGCCUCGCGCUCAAGGAGCGGCCGAUGGCGGAUUAGCUAGUUGGUAGGGUAAAGGCCUACCAAGGCGACGAUCCGUAGCUGGUCUGAGAGGACGACCAGCCACACUGGGACUGAGACACGGCCCAGACUCCUACGGGAGGCAGCAGUGGGGAAUUUUGGACAAUGGGGGAAACCCUGAUCCAGCAAUGCCGCGUGUGUGAAGAAGGCCUUCGGGUUGUAAAGCACUUUUGUCCGGAAAGAAAUCCUGUUCGUUAAUACCGAGCGGGGAUGACGGUACCGGAAGAAUAAGCACCGGCUAACUACGUGCCAGCAGCCGCGGUAAUACGUAGGGUGCGAGCGUUAAUCGGAAUUACUGGGCGUAAAGCGUGCGCAGGCGGUUUGCUAAGACCGAUGUGAAAUCCCCGGGCUCAACCUGGGAACUGCAUUGGUGACUGGCAGGCUAGAGUAUGGCAGAGGGGGGUAGAAUUCCACGUAGCAGUGAAAUGCGUAGAGAUGUGGAGGAAUACCGAUGGCGAAGGCAGCCCCCUGGGCCAAUACUGACGCUCAUGCACGAAAGCGUGGGGAGCAAACAGGAUUAGAUACCCCUGUAGUCC
This 791-nucleotide ribosomal RNA is filed under the name uncultured bacterium. Its description in RNAcentral is "bacterial SSU rRNA". It matches the Rfam family "Bacterial small subunit ribosomal RNA", at positions 8 to 796 of the family's 1533-position model. The record is from RNAcentral.